Molecule: long non-coding RNA, 1682 nt
Organism: Andrographis paniculata
Lineage: Eukaryota; Viridiplantae; Streptophyta; Magnoliopsida; Lamiales; Acanthaceae
Exons: 4
Source: RefSeq, a predicted model, not a curated record
GGGGGUGAAGGAGAGCAGGGCAGCGUGUUUCUCUUCUCCCCGCAAGCUGCCGCCGUCAACCGUUCUUUUCUUCGUUGGAAUUUUUCUCUUCCAUUUGGCAUCUUCUCUUAAGGUGAAUCAUGAGCUGGAUGUUGCGAGUGCAGCUCUCAUUCUCAUAAGACAUUCAUACUUCUGGAAGAUAAAUUGAUGCUAGUUGGUCAUUUCACCUCUCUUUCUCAUCCUAUUGCAUGUUAAUAAAUGCAAUUAACAGGCUUGGAUGGAUCUCUCUACUACUUCGGUAAAUAUAUCAAUUUCAUGUCAACGAAAGGAUAAAAAAAAUAAUAAUAUAAUUUUCUUGUCUUAUAUAUAUGUUGCUUAAAGUUGAAUCAAUUAAUAUGUGAAAUGGAUAUUGCUGAUUUAUUACAUAUUCACGCUCUAGUAUAUCUCGAACAGCAUGAACAACAGACCUCAUGGCUUCAAAUUGGUGUUGGCCAUGCUUGGGUUGUUCACAAUUUCCCAGCUGAUUUGCGAUUUUUACAGGCUUCUACUUGCCAAACUUAACUCCCUUCAAAGUCAAGAUGGGCUUUCCAUCAAAAUUAUACGUUAUUAUUUACAUAGAUAGAGAGCCAAACCCAACAAUUAUGCAAAAAUUUCAUUGGGUGUGGGCAGUGUUUUUUGUGUUCACAUUUUUGCAGCUGGCGUGCAGUUUUUACACGCUGUCACUUACCAAACAUAACUCCAUCCCCACUCUUUCCCUCACACACACUAUAUAUGUAUAUAUGUAAUAUGUGCAUCCUUAUUGUCAAUAAAGAAAGGAAGAAGCACUUUUAAAAAAAAAAAAAAUUUGAAACGGCGUUGUGGAAACAACAUAAAGUUAUGUUGCGUUAGGAAGAGGAAAACUGGUCUGCAGAGGCUACGGAACUAUACAAGAAGAUCCAACGGGAAAAGUGGUUGGAAUGGGGUAGGAAGAAUAAAAACGCUCCCGGUAAGUCCAGAAAUUUUAAAUCUUGGGAUGCUCCUGUGAGAUGUUCUUACCAUGGUUUUUCUAUUUAGUUGUAUAUCUUGGUUUAUGGUUUUAAUCCAAAUUUUUCCGAUGUAUUGUCUGUGAGUUUUUCGGAAGAGAUAACCAGAUUUUUGGUAUUGGCUGAUCUGCCUUUUGAUGUCAUAAUGUUUUUGAGGCAUUCAGAUUUAGGCUUGUUCGGUUUUGCUAGGAUCGGGACUCUAUUUGAGGUGUGAAAGUUUACCGUUGAACAGGACAUCAUUGAUGCACUCUCUGUCUGUGUUAGCAAUGCAUUAAGUAUGCAUUUUCUGGUUGGGACGUGCAUCAGCGAUGCAUUCUCUGGUCAUUCCAUUGAUCAGUGAUUAUUUUUUUCCCGUUCGCCAAAUUUAGAUUGUUUCAAAUUUUGGAUUUUCUCAUUUGUGAAAAAUAGUUUUCGAUAGUGCUAAUUGCAUUCGGUGGGGCUUGCAUCGGCUUUCGGAGCAUCUGGUGGCAUUUAUUAAUUGUAGUUGCUUCCAGCCAAUGCACCAGAAUUAAUCCAUUUAAAAAAAAUACAAGCAUUGAUUCUUUUUAUUUUAGGUUUGAGCGUUGAGAAUACUUUCUAGUUGAGUAAAAAUGUAUCACAUUGGGGACAUCAAACUUGUUCUAGAAUUUUAGUGGAUUUUAUCACAGCUUAUUAAGGGAGAUGUCGUCAAUUUUAUACAUC